GGCUAAUUAUCCUUUUCAAAAAUUUUUAUAAAAUAAAAAAAAACUAGAUAGCUAAAAAAUAAAAUAUUGGGUUGCCUCCCAACAAGCACUAAGUUUAAGGUCUUCAGUCAGACCAAGCUAAAGUUUAAUUGUAAACUGGAUCCUAUAAUUCAAUUGAGUCAACUUGCUCGCCAUCUCUAAUUUCAUCCAUAUAAUGUUUCAAUCGUUGGCCAUUUACUUUGAAGGUGUUUCCCCAUUUAGGAUCUUUGA
This 249-nucleotide long non-coding RNA is filed under the name Elaeis guineensis (African oil palm). Its description in RNAcentral is "long non-coding RNA (EGUI_LNC031282)". Lineage: Eukaryota; Viridiplantae; Streptophyta; Magnoliopsida; Arecales; Arecaceae. The record is from RNAcentral.